This 285-nucleotide unclassified non-coding RNA is filed under the name Hevea brasiliensis (rubber tree). The record is from RNAcentral. Lineage: Eukaryota; Viridiplantae; Streptophyta; Magnoliopsida; Malpighiales; Euphorbiaceae.
UAAGCCCUCCCCCAACGCGCUCUUGAUGUUGCAGGCCUGCUCACUUGCUUACUUCACCUGAGACUUCUUGCCCACAAAUUAUCACCCGAAAAAUGACCCAGAGCACACUAGUUCAUUGAUUCUCAUGGCUUCCAUUUCCACUCCCUCUUUCUCUAAGUUCCAUCCACCAUUCAGGAACACUUCAUCACCAACCAGACAUAAAAUUAGAAUCACAAACCUUACCUCCCAAUCCCACAAACAUUCAAUUAGAAACUUACCAUUUGUGCAUAAUUCUCGCGUUUUCAG